ACAGAACCGAAGAAUAAAAGACACUGAAUAUAUUAUAAUAUACUUUAUACAAAAGCGAAAAUGGGAAUCUCUGUUGCGGGGCUGGCUACGAAACUAGUCAUCUGAUCAUCAUGUGGCUAUUUUAAUAAUUUAGUACAUUUGUACAUUUGUACAAUGGCAUUUAGAAGCCAUUAUAAGCUAUUGAAAAUAUUGGUCAAUCUGGUCAGUAGAUGUAGUAGACCUAACCCUGCAGUAGUUUAGGCUGGAUAAAAAAAAAAAAAUUAUCAGGUAGUUUUUAUUGCUUAGUGACUAUACUACUAAUUUAUAUGAAUGCGUUUGAAAAAAAAAUGAAGAAAAUGCAUUUUUAAAGAUUAACUGCAGUGAUAGCGACGGAGAUUGAAACAGGAAAUCCAGGAGAAAAUCGUUUUUGUUAGGUUCACAUUUGCUUGAAACGGGCAACGCCAGACGUGACAGCUAUUAAUAUACUUAUAUGAUACGGUUAAAAUGUAUUAAUGUCGCUAUAAUUAUAUUUUUCGCAUAUGAAAACUGAUUUUGCGCUGAUAGUUUUAAUAUUGGAGUGUAUUAGUCUACUAAAAAAUACUUAAACGUAGCCAAGAACAUUGUCUGUUUCUACGUUAGUUU
Molecule: non-coding RNA, 621 nt
Organism: Cinara cedri
Lineage: Eukaryota; Metazoa; Arthropoda; Insecta; Hemiptera; Aphididae
Source: the annotation of a GenBank genome assembly